GCGGGUGUGGCGGAACUGGCAGACGCACCAGACUUAGGUUCUGGCGCCGCAAGGCGUGGGGGUUCAAGUCCCUUCACCCGCACCA
This 85-nucleotide transfer RNA is filed under the name Paracoccus sanguinis. RNAcentral's name for it is "tRNA-Leu". It matches the Rfam family "tRNA". From Rfam's summary of the family: Transfer RNA (tRNA) molecules are approximately 80 nucleotides in length. Their secondary structure includes four short double-helical elements and three loops (D, anti-codon, and T loops). Further hydrogen bonds mediate the characteristic L-shaped molecular structure. tRNAs have two regions of fundamental functional importance: the anti-codon, which is responsible for specific mRNA codon recognition, and the 3' end, to which the tRNAs corresponding amino acid is attached (by aminoacyl-tRNA synthetases). tRNAs cope with the degeneracy of the genetic code in two manners: having more than one tRNA (with a specific anti-codon) for a particular amino acid; and 'wobble' base-pairing, i.e. permitting non-standard base-pairing at the 3rd anti-codon position. Lineage: Bacteria; Pseudomonadati; Pseudomonadota; Alphaproteobacteria; Rhodobacterales; Paracoccaceae. The record is from RNAcentral.